CGCCCCCCGCCCUGGGGGGGAAGGUUACGGGCCCGGCAAGGGCUUAAAAACCUCCAAAAAGGAAAUUUGACCGGGGGGCCCCUCACCAAGCCGGCGGAGCCAUUGUGGAUUAAUUCCGAUGCAACCGCGAAAGAACCCUUACCCUGGGUUGACCAUAUACCGGAAAGCCGUAGAGAUACGGCCCCCCUUGUGGUCGGUAUACAGGUGGUGCAUGGUCUGUCGUCAGCUCGUGUCGUGAGAUGUUGGGUUAAGUCCUGCAACGAGCGCAACCCUUGUCUUUUGUUGCCAGCACGUAAUGGUCGGACUCGUAAGAGACUGCCGGGGUCAACUAGGAGGAAGGGUUCUGACGACGUCAAGUCAUCAUGCCCCUUAUGUCCAGGGCUUCACACAUGCUACAAUGGCCGGUACAGAGUGCUGCGAUACCGUGAGGUGGAGCGAAUCCCUUAAAGCCGGUCUCAGUUCGGAUCGGGGUCUGCAGACUCGCUCCCGUGAAGUCGGAGUCGCUAGUAAUCGCAGAUCAGCAACGCUGCGGUGAAUACGUUCCCGGGCCUUGUACACACCGCCCGUCACGUCAUGAAAGUCGGUAACAGGAAGAAGCCGGUGGCCUUUUCCCUUGUG
This 618-nucleotide ribosomal RNA is filed under the name Rhodococcus wratislaviensis. RNAcentral describes it as "bacterial SSU rRNA". It matches the Rfam family "Bacterial small subunit ribosomal RNA", at positions 875 to 1447 of the family's 1533-position model. The record is from RNAcentral. Lineage: Bacteria; Bacillati; Actinomycetota; Actinomycetes; Mycobacteriales; Nocardiaceae.